UUUCUGGUGGUCUAGUGGUUAGGACUCAGAGCUUUAACUGCUGCAGCCCAGAUUCAAUCCCUGGUCUGGGAA
Transfer RNA from Sus scrofa (pig), 72 nucleotides. It matches the Rfam family "tRNA". Rfam says of the family: Transfer RNA (tRNA) molecules are approximately 80 nucleotides in length. The record is from Rfam. Lineage: Eukaryota; Metazoa; Chordata; Mammalia; Artiodactyla; Suidae.